AGGCUAAUUGUAGGGUGACUUAGACCCAGGGCACCACAGAUGGUCAGAACUGGAAAGAUUCAUGGAGGUCAUUUCAUCUGGCCGGGGCCCAGAAGGACUAGGAGAUGUGCCUGCAGUCCCUCAAGGGGAGUCAAACAUCAAGAGGCUACAGGGCGCCGGGUGCGGUGGCUCACGUCUGUAAUGCCGGCACUUCAGGAGGUCGAGGCGGGCGGAUCAUCUGACGUCAGGAGUUUGAGACCAGCCUGGCCAACGUGGUGAAACCCUGUCUCUACUAAUAAUAAAAAACUAGCUGGG
Long non-coding RNA from Homo sapiens (human), 294 nucleotides. RefSeq lists it as uncharacterized. NCBI's taxonomy places the organism in Eukaryota, Metazoa, Chordata, Mammalia, Primates, Hominidae. The transcript is spliced from 2 exons. The record is from RefSeq and is a predicted model, not a curated record.